GGGAGAAGAAGAAGAUGGGACAAAAGGGCUAUUUUUAAUCUGGUGGCUUGGCGUUGGAAGAUUGGAUCCUCGCAGAGAAUGCUGAUUGCAUUUCCACCAAGCUCUGGAUCACAUGAUUCUCUGGGGGAGGUGGGUAGGACCUCUAGGGAAGCUUCUCUAUGGAGGUGAAAUUCUAGCUGAGACCUGCAUGAUGAGAAGAAAAGGAACCUGGAAGUUGAAUUUAAGGCAGAAAGAAGAACAAGGAUAAGAUCCAUGAGCUGGGAACCGUCUUGCUAUAUUUGAGUAGCAGAAAGAAGUGAGCAAACCUUUCCCAGAAGCUCUACAGCAGAAUUUCCAUCGUAUUUCAAUGACCAGAGCAGAGUCACGUGCUUGUGCUUUGAAGAUUGCUUGGCUUAGAGAAGUCAAGAUUCAUGGGUUGGGAAGGCACCCGAAGUUCACUGGCUUCAUGGAGGAUAGUGAAGAAGAUGCCAGCUCUCUUAGUAAGGAAGGAAGGCACCCAUACUUCACUGGCUGCAUGGAGGAUAGUGAAGAAGAUGCCGGCUCUUUUA
Molecule: non-coding RNA, 548 nt
Organism: Macaca mulatta (Rhesus monkey)
Lineage: Eukaryota; Metazoa; Chordata; Mammalia; Primates; Cercopithecidae
Source: RefSeq, a predicted model, not a curated record